UCCAAAGCGCAAGUAGAACACACACACACACGCACAAGCACACGCACACACCACACACCACACACCACACACACACACUUUGACUUUUCUUUUUAUGUUUGGACGAUGAACGUAGGAAAUAGAUUUCAUCGGAUCCUGUUCAUGAGGGCAAAGGAGACAAACGUCAGCUUCAGGAGCAGCAGAGACUCAGAUACUGACUUCAUGUUGGAGUCGUACGAGCCGAAGAUUCCGGAGGCGAGAGCUGGAGCUUCGAAUCCGUUCAUCCUGCUUCACCACGUCAGCUGGAACCAGAAGAACACAUCAGACCUUCUGCUCUCACAGGGACUCCAGACCUCACACACUCAUUAAAUCCAUUAGGUUUCUUCAGAUUUCCUGAAAAAAGAUUUUAAAAAGUCAAUAGAUUUUAUUCAUACAUUGAUUCAUUAUGACCCAGGAUAGAAUUCAGGAGGAAGCAGCUGGUCACAGUUUGGAGACACCGUGAAGAACAUGAGGAAACUUCAUGAACCAACCAUCAGAGUUUCAUCUUCUGCUCGUUAAGGAAUCAUCAAAACCUCUCGACUCAUUGAACAGAGAGGCUCUCGCUCGCUCCUGAAUCCACAGCGAGCGCUCGUGAUUACUUUCCCACGACUCCAUCUUGGACUCUGCAUCCAUGACAACAGCCUGUGAGGCAAAGUUCAGGGAGAAGACAAACCAGGACGUCUCCGCUGUGAGGACAGACGGACUCCUGUGAGACAGACUCUGGUUUCUGUCCCUGUGUCCAAGACCACGUCUCUAAAAAUAAAUCCUUAGGAUGUUUGUUGCGUUCAAAGAUAAAAGAGGAAACUCUUAAAUCUAUUGACUCUUCCACUGACCUUUCACAAUAAAAGAGGGUGUGAGCGUC
Platichthys flesus (European flounder) is the source of this 880-nucleotide long non-coding RNA. RefSeq lists it as uncharacterized. NCBI's taxonomy places the organism in Eukaryota, Metazoa, Chordata, Actinopteri, Pleuronectiformes, Pleuronectidae. The record is from RefSeq and is a predicted model, not a curated record. The transcript has 2 exons.